AACGAACGCUGGCGGCAUGCCUAACACAUGCAAGUCGAACGAAGGCUUCGGCCUUAGUGGCGCACGGGUGCGUAACGCGUGGGAAUCUGCCCUUUGGUUCGGAAUAACAGCUGGAAACGGCUGCUAAUGCCGGAUGAUGACGAAAGUCCAAAGAUUUAUCGCCAGAGGAUGAGCCCGCGUUGGAUUAGGUAGUUGGUGGGGUAAAGGCCUACCAAGCCGACGAUCCAUAGCUGGUCUGAGAGGAUGAUCAGCCACACUGGGACUGAGACACGGCCCAGACUCCUAUGGGAGGCAGCAGUGGGGAAUAUUGGACAAUGGGCGCAAGCCUGAUCCAGCAAUGCCGCGUGAGUGAUGAAGGCCCUAGGGUUGUAAAGCUCUUUUACCCGGGAAGAUAAUGACUGUACCGGGAGAAUAAGCCCCGGCUAACUCCGUG
This 433-nucleotide ribosomal RNA is filed under the name uncultured bacterium. RNAcentral's name for it is "partial 16S ribosomal RNA". It matches the Rfam family "Bacterial small subunit ribosomal RNA", at positions 29 to 507 of the family's 1533-position model. The record is from RNAcentral.